RNAcentral lists this ribosomal RNA (497 nucleotides) under uncultured bacterium. Its description in RNAcentral is "partial 16S ribosomal RNA". It matches the Rfam family "Bacterial small subunit ribosomal RNA", at positions 28 to 507 of the family's 1533-position model. The record is from RNAcentral.
GAUGAACGCUGGCGGCGUGCCUAAUACAUGCAAGUCGAGCGAACAGACGAGGAGCUUGCUCCUCUGACGUUAGCGGCGGACGGGUGAGUAACACGUGGAUAACCUACCUAUAAGACUGGGAUAACUUCGGGAAACCGGAGCUAAUACCGGAUAAUAUAUUGAACCGCAUGGUUCAAUAGUGAAAGACGGUUUUGCUGUCACUUAUAGAUGGAUCCGCGCCGCAUUAGCUAGUUGGUAAGGUAACGGCUUACCAAGGCGACGAUGCGUAGCCGACCUGUGAGGGUGAUCGGCCACACUGGAACUGAGACACGGUCCAGACUCCUACGGGAGGCAGCAGUAGGGAAUCUUCCGCAAUGGGCGAAAGCCUGACGGAGCAACGCCGCGUGAGUGAUGAAGGUCUUCGGAUCGUAAAACUCUGUUAUUAGUGAAGAACAAAUGUGUAAGUAACUAUGCACGUCUUGACGGUACCUAAUCAGAAAGCCACGGCUAACUACGUG